AGGAGCCUGCUGAUGUUACUAUGUGUUGUUCAUUCCUGGAUAUCAUUGAUAAGAACUGUGAACAUGACCUGGUCCCUGGCGAGAUGUCAAGUUUCGAAAAAUGUGCUUUUUGUGGAGGACCAUUUGCACCUCUGAGAUGGGUUGGAGAGAGAUGUAUAGUUUGCUGCCAGUCGUGGCACAAAAACUGUUAUCUUAAACAUAUG
This is a long non-coding RNA of Periophthalmus magnuspinnatus, 203 nucleotides long. RefSeq lists it as uncharacterized. The transcript has 3 exons. NCBI's taxonomy places the organism in Eukaryota, Metazoa, Chordata, Actinopteri, Gobiiformes, Gobiidae. The record is from RefSeq and is a predicted model, not a curated record.